AAUAAAAAUAAACCUAUUAAAUUAUUAGUUAAUGAGCUUGAAUAAGCAUAU
RNAcentral lists this transfer RNA (51 nucleotides) under Cladopelma sp. 2 MEC-2013. RNAcentral describes it as "partial tRNA-Ser". The record is from RNAcentral. Lineage: Eukaryota; Metazoa; Arthropoda; Insecta; Diptera; Chironomidae.